This 457-nucleotide ribosomal RNA is filed under the name uncultured bacterium. RNAcentral's name for it is "partial 16S ribosomal RNA". It matches the Rfam family "Bacterial small subunit ribosomal RNA", at positions 28 to 523 of the family's 1533-position model. The record is from RNAcentral.
GAUGAACGCUGGCGGCGUGCCUAAUACAUGCAAGUCGAGCGGUAAGGCCCUUCGGGGUACACGAGCGGCGGACGGCUGAGUAACACGUAGGAACCUACCCCAAACGGAGGGAUAAGCACCAGAAAUGGUGUCUAAUACCGCAUGUGCUCUACGGAGUAAAGCUUCGGCGGUUUGGGAAGGGCCUGCGUCCGAUUAGCUAGUUGGUGGUAUAAAAGACUACCAAGGCGACGAUCGGUAGCUGGUCUGAGAGGAUGAUCAGCCAGACUGGGACUGAGACACGGCCCAGACUCCUACGGGAGGCAGCAGUAGGGAAUUUUCCACAAUGGGCGAAAGCCUGAUGGAGCAACGCCGCGUGCAGGAUGAAUGCCUUCGGGUUGUAAACUACUUUUAUCUGUGACGAAUAUGACGGUAGCAGAUGAAUAAGGACCUGCUAACUACGUGCCAGCCGCCGCGGUAA